CCUGCGGAAGGAUCAUUAUUGAUUGUGAAUGGUUGCCUUCAGUGCUGGCUCCGGCAAGUGCACGCUGGUGACUUCAAUCCAAUACCCUUGUGAACCAUUGGCCUCUUGCUAGCUUCGGCUGGUAGAGGAUAUUUACACCAACUCGAAUGUAAUGAAAUUAUUGUUGUGCGCAAGCACUAAUGUACAACUUUCAACAACGGAUCUCUUGGCUCUCGCAUCGAUGAAGAACGCAGCGAAAUGCGAUAAGUAAUGUGAAUUGCAGAAUUCAGUGAAUCAUCGAAUCUUUGAACGCACCUUGCACCCUUUGGCAUUCCGAAGGGUAUGCUCGUUUGAGUGUCAUUGUACUCUCACACUUCCAAUUCUAUGGAUUGGGAGCGGUGGACUUGGGCGCUGCUGCUUUACUGUGGCUCACCUCAAAUGCAUUAGUGCAACCCUUGGUUAGACAUAGUACGGCGUGAUAAGUGUCUUCGCUGGCGCCUCACUUAGAGGGUGGCUGAUCAGGGGCUCUGUGCUUCAAACCGUCUUUGGACAAUGGCUGACAACUUGACCUCAAAUCGAGUAGGACUACCCGCUGAACUUAAGCAUAUCAAUAAGCGGAGGAAAAGAAACUAACAAGGAUUCCCCUAGUAACGGCGAGUGAAGAGGGAAGAGCUCAAAUUUUGAAUCUGGCGUCUUUGGCGUCCGAAUUGUAAUCUAGAGAAGUGUUUUCCGUGACGGACCGUGCAUAAGUCUCCUGGAAUGGAGUGUCAUAGAGGGUGAGAAUCCCGUAUAUGGCACGGACUCCCGUUGCUCUGUGAUACACUCUCGACGAGUCGAGUUGUUUGGGAAUGCAGCUCCAAAUGGGUGGUAAAUGCCAUCUAAAGCUAAAUAUUGGCGAGAGACCGAUAGCGAACAAGUACCGUGAGGGAAAGAUGAAAAGCACUUUGGAAAGAGAGUGAAACAGUACGUGAAAUUGUUGAAAGGGAAACGCUUGAAGUCAGUCGCGCCGUUCGGGAUUCAGCCUUGCUUCUGCUCGGUUUACUUCCCGUUGGGUGGGUCAACAUCMGUUCUAGACGGAGGAGAAAGGCUUGGGGAAGGUAGCAGCAUUCGUGCUGUGUUAUAGCCCCUUGUUGUAUACUUCGAUUGGGACUGAGGACUGCAGCACGCCUUUGGCCGGGGUUCGCCCACGUACGUGCUUAGGA
RNAcentral lists this ribosomal RNA (1181 nucleotides) under Sebacina epigaea. Its description in RNAcentral is "eukaryotic LSU rRNA". The stretch from base 545 to 1181 matches the Rfam family "Eukaryotic large subunit ribosomal RNA", at positions 1 to 618 of the family's 3401-position model. Lineage: Eukaryota; Fungi; Basidiomycota; Agaricomycetes; Sebacinales; Sebacinaceae. The record is from RNAcentral.